GUGGGGAAUAUUGCACAAUGGGGGAAACCCUGAUGCAGCAACGCCACGUGUGGGAAGAAGCAUUUCGGUGUGUAAACCACUGUCAUGAGGGAAUAAGGCCCGCCUUCGGGCGGGAUUGAAUGUACCUUGAGAGGAAGCACCGGCAAACUUCGUGCCAGCAGCCGCGGUAAUACGAGGGGUGCAAGCGUUGUUCGGAAUUACUGGGCGUAAAGGGAGCGUAGGCGGAGAUUCAAGCGGAUUGUACAAUCCCGGGGCCCAACCCCGGUUCUGCAGUCCGAACUGGAUCUCUUGGAUAGUUCAGGGGCAGGCGGAAUUCCUGGUGUAGCGGUGGAAUGCGUAGAGAUCAGGAAGAACACCGAUGGCGAAGGCAGCCUGCUGGGGACUUAUCGACGCUGAGGCUCGAAAGUGCGGGUAGCAAACAGG
RNAcentral lists this ribosomal RNA (423 nucleotides) under uncultured rumen bacterium. Its description in RNAcentral is "bacterial SSU rRNA". It matches the Rfam family "Bacterial small subunit ribosomal RNA", at positions 354 to 776 of the family's 1533-position model. The record is from RNAcentral.